GGAGGGAUGCCGGAGCGGCCAAUCGGAGCAGACUGUAAAUCUGCCGCCCUAAGGGCUACGCAGGUUCGAAUCCUGCUCCCUCCACUA
RNAcentral lists this transfer RNA (87 nucleotides) under Chloroflexi bacterium RBG_13_51_52. RNAcentral describes it as "tRNA-Tyr". It matches the Rfam family "tRNA". Rfam says of the family: Transfer RNA (tRNA) molecules are approximately 80 nucleotides in length. Their secondary structure includes four short double-helical elements and three loops (D, anti-codon, and T loops). Lineage: Bacteria; Bacillati; Chloroflexota. The record is from RNAcentral.